RNAcentral lists this ribosomal RNA (1437 nucleotides) under uncultured organism. RNAcentral describes it as "16S ribosomal RNA". It matches the Rfam family "Bacterial small subunit ribosomal RNA". The record is from RNAcentral.
GAACGCUAGCUACAGGCUUAACACAUGCAAGUCGAGGGGCAUCAGGAAGAAAGCUUGCUUUCUUUGCUGGCGACCGGCGCACGGGUGAGUAACACGUAUCCAACCUGCCCUUUACUCGGGGAUAGCCUUUCGAAAGAAAGAUUAAUACCCGAUGGCAUAAUGAUUCCGCAUGGUUUCAUUAUUAAAGGAUUCCGGUAAAGGAUGGGGAUGCGUUCCAUUAGGUUGUUGGUGAGGUAACGGCUCACCAAGCCUUCGAUGGAUAGGGGUUCUGAGAGGAAGGUCCCCCACAUUGGAACUGAGACACGGUCCAAACUCCUACGGGAGGCAGCAGUGAGGAAUAUUGGUCAAUGGGCGCUAGCCUGAACCAGCCAAGUAGCGUGAAGGAUGAAGGCUCUAUGGGUCGUAAACUUCUUUUAUAUAAGAAUAAAGUGCAGUAUGUAUACUGUUUUGUAUGUAUUAUAUGAAUAAGGAUCGGCUAACUCCGUGCCAGCAGCCGCGGUAAUACGGAGGAUCCGAGCGUUAUCCGGAUUUAUUGGGUUUAAAGGGAGCGUAGGUGGACUGGUAAGUCAGUUGUGAAAGUUUGCGGCUCAACCGUAAAAUUGCAGUUGAUACUGUCAGUCUUGAGUACAGUAGAGGUGGGCGGAAUUCGUGGUGUAGCGGUGAAAUGCUUAGAUAUCACGAAGAACUCCGAUUGCGAAGGCAGCUCACUGGACUGCAACUGACACUGAUGCUCGAAAGUGUGGGUAUCAAACAGGAUUAGAUACCCUGGUAGUCCACACAGUAAACGAUGAAUACUCGCUGUUUGCGAUAUACAGUAAGCGGCCAAGCGAAAGCAUUAAGUAUUCCACCUGGGGAGUACGCCGGCAACGGUGAAACUCAAAGGAAUUGACGGGGGCCCGCACAAGCGGAGGAACAUGUGGUUUAAUUCGAUGAUACGCGAGGAACCUUACCCGGGCUUAAAUUGCAGUGGAAUGAUGUGGAAACAUGUCAGUGAGCAAUCACCGCUGUGAAGGUGCUGCAUGGUUGUCGUCAGCUCGUGCCGUGAGGUGUCGGCUUAAGUGCCAUAACGAGCGCAACCCUUAUCUUUAGUUACUAACAGGUUAUGCUGAGGACUCUAGAGAGACUGCCGUCGUAAGAUGUGAGGAAGGUGGGGAUGACGUCAAAUCAGCACGGCCCUUACGUCCGGGGCUACACACGUGUUACAAUGGGGGGUACAGAAGGCAGCUAGCGGGUGACCGUAUGCUAAUCCCAAAAGCCUCUCUCAGUUCGGAUCGAAGUCUGCAACCCGACUUCGUGAAGCUGGAUUCGCUAGUAAUCGCGCAUCAGCCACGGCGCGGUGAAUACGUUCCCGGGCCUUGUACACACCGCCCGUCAAGCCAUGGGAGCCGGGGGUACCUGAAGUACGUAACCGCAAGGAUCGUCCUAGGGUAAAACUGG